GCAGAAUUGUAGAAGAUUGGAUAAAAAGAGAAUAUUGAAGAAGAGAAAGUAUUUUCGAUAUUAAUUCUCGAAUGAAUGAAUACUGGAAGAGACUUCCCUUCUAUCCAAGAAAGUGUAAAUGCUUGCAACAACAUAGUAUAACUGCCUCCAACAAACAGUAAAAAAGUCAAUUACUAAAGUACCAUUUUCCCUCCAACAUCUCGGCUACCCAUUCCUCAACUAGUUAUUACUGUUCUUCUUUCUCUUCCUGUAAUAUGCAACACUAUUCUGUUUCAGCCCUUUUUAUCUGCAUCAUUACACGAAUAAAAUCAAAUGUAUUAUUAACAAUGUCUAUUGAAAUUUAAAAUUACAGCUUCCAAAGCAGAAAAGGAGUUAAAUCUUAAUGUAGUUUCUUGUUCUUCUAAUCUAGAACAUAUACGUGCCAAGUUCAGGAGGGAAACUUAAAGAAUCAAUACAUGGAAUGGAAGAGGAAAAAUCAAAGGAAACCUAGCAAAACCAUCCAAUGAGUUAAAAAUUUCCCCAGAUUACCUGGAGAACGCAUAUACGGGAUAGCAAAAGGCUGCUGCAGCAGGAGCCUGGAUUGCCCUCAACACUCUUUGCUGCAGAUAUCAAUCAUAGGACCAGAAAAGAGUGUUGCAGCAGACACUGAUGCCAUGUGAGCUCAAGUAUUAGGAACCCCAAAAGCUUCCCCAUAGGGAAGACCUCUGGCAAUGUCAACCUUUCUGCAAUAGUAUCCAAUGGCGCUCGACAACUGCUUAUACCAACAACUGCUUAUACCAAAUUAGCUUCCCAAUGGAAUCAACUUUUGUACGCCGUAUCCAGACCAAAUACGUGGGCAGAUCCACAAAUUUGUAAGCUCAACAUAUCUAAACAAUAAACAACAGAAACUUGGAAAUCACAUUUUCGGUUCACUAAAGCACCAUCCCUCAUCAGGCAGAUUGUAGCCAUAAUCUCAGUCAAUCUUUUCCAUUCUGCAGCUAGCAGUUCAUAUUAAAUAAAUCACGACCUGGCUGGCAGAUGCACAUGUACAAAGCUCUAGAAUUCAAUAAUAUCUAUUCAAUCUACAUUCCAGAUAAACCAAAAUUAACAAAAAUUCAACAAAGAUGAUGUUUUUCUGGUUGGAUGAACCAAAUAUCAAAAUCAACCAAAUUUGGAUUUUCAGCGUUUUUCUUUUCUUCUCUACAAGGAAUGUACAUGGUUGCCAAACAGAAACUACAAAUAUGAGAGCAAAUGAGACCAAAAGGAAAAAAAAAAUGCAUAUAUAUUAUAUAUAUUGAAUUUAAAAAAAAAAUAAAACAGAAAAGAAGCAAGUUAGGAAACAAAAUGAGAAAAAGAAAAACAGAGUAAUCAAUCAUGAUAUCACAUGCUACCAGCUCUUCCAGGAGUAGGUUUUGUUGUCUUGAAUUUAGCAAUGUCAACCAGUUCUCCAAACAGCUUGUCUUCUGGCUUGGAAGGCUUCUUAAGUGGCAGGUAAGAUGAAGUGGGAACCUGGUAAGAUGAGUUUCUCACAAUGCUAUCAUCUCUAACGCUCAGGCCAUACAUUUGCUGCUCAAGAUAUGGUGUCCCUUGUUGCGGAGCAUAACCAUAGCCAGCCAUUUGGUUGCCAUACAUAUGUUGAGGAUACAUAGAAGCCAUUUGCCCAUGCAUUGGCUGUGGAAGCAUACCCAUAUACUGCCCUCCCUGGACUACUUGAGGAUGCAAACCUAACUGAUUGCUCUGCAUAGCCGGAUUACUAAAUGCAGACAGAUGGCUGGUUGUGAUGGGCUGAAUGUACAUACCCACUAAAUGGUCAUUCACUGAAGGUUGCAGAGCCUGAGGCUGCAUGCCACUUUGUACUGGCUGUGUGUGCGUCACAACCACCUGAGUAACUUGCAUUGGUUGAGGGUAUUGAGUGCCUGCCACAGGGCUGCCAUCUGCUGGUUGAGCUUCCCAUGGAGGUGGAGGUAGUGACCCACUGCCUUGAGCGCCAAAAACUGGUGAGGCUGGCUGCAGAUGCUGUUGCUGAGGAACAUGUCCAUUCCAGGCAGGACUAGCAGCUUGCAUGUAUGGUGAAUGCUCAUUCCGCGGUGAUCCCAUAUUUGGGGCAAUUCCAUUUGUGUAAAUUCCAGCUUCUGGGGGAUGAGAAUUAAAUUGCUGUUGGAUUUGAGGAGUCGAAGAAUUUGUUAGUCCAGCUAAAUGGGCAGGGUGCACAUUGACAGCAUUUGGGGGGUUGCUACUGUCAGAAAACAUGUCAAAAAGAGCAAGGGCAUUCUGCUUAGAUGGAGUAGUAGUUGGCUGUGGCUCUCCCACAGGAACAAGAGCCAGUGAAUUAUCAGCCUUUGGUGAGCUAAAGUCAUCCCCACUCAACAAGUCCAUUUUGGGAUUGGCAGCUGCUGGAGUAGUUGGACCAUUAGUUGCAGGAGGUGCAGGGAGCAACAAUUGAUUCAUUAAACCAGAAGCUGAAGCAGAUCCCUCGACAGGUUGUUUGUGGCUGCCUCCGGCAUCAACUAGAGGACCACCAACAUCCACAAGUGCCCCACCAGAUUCAGGCUUUGGUUUCUCAGGUGCAGCAGGAGCAGGAGUUCCUGAAGCAAUAGCUUCAUGCUUGGCUAGUACACGCUGCAAAUCAUCAUUUAAUGCAAGCCCUUGGCAUAGCAAUGAUUCAUCCGCAGUUGAAUUAACAAGAUGUACUACUCUUUGCUUGUAUGUACGGCAUUGUUCCACCAAGUCAAUAAUAACCUCCUGCCUAAGUCCCACUUUGUUUCCUGGAUCUAAUGCACUUAACAUCUCUGCAAGGACAUCCAUGAUACCCCGCGCAUUCUGAAUUUCUGUCAAGCUAGUAAAAGAAAUUUCAAAUCAACACAAACAAUAACACUACUAAUGAAGCAUCAAAGGUUGAAUGAAAAAUGCAGUGCAACUUUUGAUACUCCAGCAGAUAACUAGUUUUUGUAUGUUCUAAUAUUGUGGCAACUCUAGUCAAUGGAAAAACUGCUUUUUUUUUUUGUCCUUUUUCCAAGGGCAAAUAUUAAGACCAGCAGUGCACAGAAACCAAGGUUGCCACUUAACACGUAAUGUGCCUCACAGUUGAGAAUAGAGAUUAUUACAUGCAUUACAAGCCUUCCAGGUAUACAAAAUUUACUAAAUCUUUGUCCCUAUACAUCUGAGACCUAAUAUGUGUAUUAGGAUUUCCAUCGCAACAGAUAACCUGCUUUGAUCUUUAUCCAAAGUACAGUCAGAAGGUGACCACCACUGUAGUGCAUAAUUUUAUAGCUUUUCCUCUUACAUAAUUUAUCAACGUGAAAUGAACAAAAUGAAUAUUGAGCGAGAGUCAAGCAAACUUGUAUUCACCAAUCACCAGGUAUACAGGCUAAAAUUUGGUACUUCAACAAGAUUUGUAUUAGCACAAAGUAGAUAUAUAUCCUAACAAAAGUUUUUACACCAUCAAUCAUAUAGGAUAAGGAAAGAAAUGACAUCAUGUAAAGUGCCAUAAAAAGGGGCCAACAAGGAACAGAAUCUAUUUUCAUGUUAGAUUCCAUUCUGACAUCAAAGACAAACUCUAAGAUAAACCUCAAUGUUGGGAACUCAGACUCUGCAGAAGACUCUGCUGCCUCUAGCCGAUUCUCAUUAUUCCGCAGACUUUGAGGAUAAGAUGUCAAUGGUUGUGUUUGAGGAGGUGUAAAUACAGGCGCAGACCUCUCAGAUCUCUGAGGGAACACAGCCCCAGCACGCAACAACUCUUGAUAUGCAGCAUAAUAUUGUGGAUAUCUUGCCCUUGCUCCACCAAAAGCUUCUUGCCAGGUGUCUAUUAGAAUCAGUAUCUUCUGUUUGACAUGAAAUUCAGGCUUUUUCUUCACUAUCUUCACCAUCUCAUGUAGAACAUCUUUCUCUGCAACGUGCAUAUGGACAAUGUCCCCACAAUUCUUUACAAUGGUUUCCAAUAGCUAGAAUAUACCGAAAGUUAAACAAACUUACUCAUCUGGAGAUAGUUGUUUAAAAUUACAACAAAUGUGUCAAACCCUAUAUCUAUGAAAUUAGCCUAGAAUUCAAAAUUAUUUAAUUUUAUAAGAAAAAUCUCAAAAAAAAAUAAAUAAUCCAAGAAUUUUCUUUUUACUUCAUUUUUCCAAUUUCAAAUCGAUAGGUGUCCAACAAACAAAUUGGGAUGCCAGGAAAGAUGUGAGGUUUCCUCAAUUUCACAGCACAGAAACAUAUUAUAUAGAGAUAUUAGAAAAAAGAACUCAGCUUAUAUGGAUAUAUACAAAAAGAACUCAGCUUAAAUCACACUCCUUGGUACAAAUAUGGCAAGUAAACCUAAUUCUAACAUGAAAUAAUUUUUUCCCCCUUGAAAAGGAAAAAUAUUGAAUGUAACAAAGCUAUAAUAAUGACAGUAUGUUGAUUACAUGCUGCAUCAGUGUGAUCAUACCUUCUCCGGGCAGCAUAAAUAAAAUUUGCAUAAGGAAAAAGAAAAGUCAAGUGAUUUAAAGCUUACUGUUAGUGCAAGAAGUUGAACUUUCGAAUUCUUACUUCCGAUGCGCUUCUUUAUACCUUUAACAACAUCCUUUGCUAUUACAGGGUCGUGAUUACACAUAUCACAGAUCUCGAUGUUCAUGGCCCAGUCAGGCCCGAUCAACAUGUCGCUGGUGGCCCGUUCAACCAUAGAAUUCACCAUCUUUGCUUCUUUUUUCCUUUUAUCUUCUUAUUCCAAACUCAAAAGAUCAAUCCUAUCCCAGUGACCGUAGACACUUUUUCCGGCGCGAUCGCACCUAAUUCCACGUAAAAUUCCGGCGAGUAACCUUGUAAAGCAAUCUCUAUAUCUAAUUACGUCUCCUUCCCUCUCUCUCAACUCCGUCUAGAUCGAUUAGCUCAAACAGAACAGUCGUUUAUCGAAGGACAAUCUCUCCGGAAACAGUUUUCUCUCUGUUACUUUUUUUUUCCCCUUCUUUU
RNAcentral lists this unclassified non-coding RNA (4920 nucleotides) under Hevea brasiliensis (rubber tree). Lineage: Eukaryota; Viridiplantae; Streptophyta; Magnoliopsida; Malpighiales; Euphorbiaceae. The record is from RNAcentral.